RNAcentral lists this unclassified non-coding RNA (295 nucleotides) under Hevea brasiliensis (rubber tree). The record is from RNAcentral. Lineage: Eukaryota; Viridiplantae; Streptophyta; Magnoliopsida; Malpighiales; Euphorbiaceae.
AAAAAAAGCAAAAAAAUGUUAGCAACAGAAGGCAUGGAAGACGAAGAGAAAUGGCUAGCAGAAGGAAUCGCAGCUAUUCAACACAACGCAUUUUACAUGUCUCGUGCAUUGGAUUCGGAUAAUCUCAGAGAAGCGUUGAAGUAUUCUGCUUUGUUGCUGUCUGAGCUUCGGACUUCAAAACUUUCGCCGCACAAAUACUACGAGCUUUGUAAAUUUUCUAGUCAACAUAUGUUUUUUGAUUAAAUUUUUCUAUUUCCAGUUUGUUAGAAAGUUUUUGCUGGAGAAAAAAUAAAUU